This 2059-nucleotide ribosomal RNA is filed under the name Triticum aestivum (bread wheat). RNAcentral describes it as "partial small subunit ribosomal RNA". Lineage: Eukaryota; Viridiplantae; Streptophyta; Magnoliopsida; Poales; Poaceae. The record is from RNAcentral.
CGUGGUGCAUCCUAUACCUUUACCUUCCGCUGCCGUGUCUCUGUCGCCUGCGGAUGCGGUCCAUGCUCCGCUAGCGAAGGAGGGAGGGCUGCAGCCGCACGGUCCCGGACCCCCGGCGGCGCAUGUUCUUGGUGGCGCCGAAGACCAUGGGCCGCGUGGUCUACCGCGGCUGCGAGCGGCACGCCCUGUGGAAGCAGCGGGCGGGGUGGCUGUAGGAUCAGCGGUGGGACGGGUUCAGGCCGUGGUGCACCGAGUUCCGCGAGCACAAGCGGUAGCGCGUGGCGGCGCACGUGUGGGGCCAUCGCCUGCCGUGCCCCGUUGCCGCGGUGGGCGAGGACCCGAGGUCGGGGGUGCUGGAGCAGGGGAAGGACGUGAUGCAGAUGCUCUUCGUGGCCAGCCGGCGCCAGGGCGAGGACCUCCGCUACGGCCGCGGCGCGCAGGACCGGCACGUGCGCGGCGACAGCCGCGACGGCCGCAGGCACCGGCCCAGGCCGACGGCGCAGCACAUGUACACGGCCCUGGGGUUCCUGCGCGAGCAGAGAGAGACCGUGAUGGAGGCCUUUCGGUUGGCAGGACCGCGGUGGCGCCGCAGCGAGCUCCUCGACGAGCGCCGCAAGACGCUGCCGCAGAGCGGCAAGCCCGGCCGCACCCUCGUGCACCGGCUCAUGACCUCCCUCUCGAACCGCGCCGGCCUCGUCCAGUACAAGGAGGCCAUGCUCGUGGAGUUCCUCCUGUGCUACCCCUCGCACUUCGCCGAGCGGCUCAAGGAGCCGACGGGCAAGUGCCCGCUCCUCCACCGGCCCCCGCAGGGGCUCCGGCACCGCCGCGACACACCGUAUCUCGCCUACUCCUCGCACCUCCGCUUGGCGUGGCCGCUCAUGCCCCAAGUGACCUUCAAGUCGUUGAGGCGUAAGAAGUCCUUACCCCUCCAACCCCUGACCUUCGUCGUGUACUGCCGGCUCUACCGCGUCUCUUAGCUGCCGUAGUACCUACUACCCGGGGCGUAUUUUACUGGUCUUACGGGCACGAGGGUCUAGCAACUGGUCCUUGUCCUCUCCUCGAGCCAGCGAGCAGAGUAGGGGAAGGAGACCGGCCGUCGUUGCGGUCCUCUGGUGCCGCCGAUGAGUUGCCGCAGCGCGAACCACCAGGAGCUGCUGGCUGCCGGGACCAGCAGGCGCCGCUGAUGUAGGGCCGCUCCAGCAAGGCCACCAGGAGCUCGGCGUACCGACGACGGAGGUACGUCCAGAAGCCGUCGUUCCCGGCGGCCGGAGCAUGCCGACGACGAGGCGCUGCGCAGAGAUCGACGUGGUACGUCGGUCUCGGACGUUGAAAGAAAAGAAGAGGAAAAACUGUAAGAAUCUUGGACGUAGAACUAAGUAGAGAAGAAACGUACCUACCUACGCAGUCAUGCUUGACGUUGAACACUAAGAUACAAGUCUUGUAGUUAAACCUGUUAUUAAUUAGUUAAGUAAUGUAAUUAACAAGGGAGCGGCCACGAGGGAAAGGACCGGCGGCGACGAGGAAGACGAAAACGCCGAACGGCGACGAGGAGGAGAGACAUCGUGUCGGGACCGCGGGUGCGAGCACACGCGAAGAGGGCCGUUGACCCUCGGUCGAGUGAGAAUCGUUGCCCCUCCCGCGGUGGAGAUGUGACGAUGGACCUCUGCGUAGCCGGAGGAAGCACGGUGCCCGCAGCCCACCCGUGCCCAACCGACAGUUGGAACAGUCCCCCGUCCCUCGUCGUGCUCGUUGUUCCUGCCGCCCCUCGUCGUGUCGACACGGUGGUUGCCGUAGACCAUGAGGCUGCCGCCGCCGCUUGGCCAAGUGGGGGAGGGCUAAACUGAAGUUGCCACUUAACCGACCGACGUGACCAGUUUGAUCGUGUUUUCCCAUCAAAGCAGGUGACAAAAUAUACAGAUAAUACAAUUAGUAAUCGUUCAUAACAAAAACACACUUUUUCACCGUUUUCUACUUUCAGAUUACAUUUCUCACCGUUGACUAGUUAAUGUUACAUUCCUCACCGUUUAACAGUUUCAAGUUUCAUUAACUACCGUUUUUU